GAUGAACGCUGGCGGCGUGCCUAAUACAUGCAAGUCGAGCGAACGGACGAGAAGCUUGCUUCUCUGAUGUUAGCGGCGGACGGGUGAGUAACACGUGGAUAACCUACCUAUAAGACUUGGAUAACUUCGGGAAACCGGAGCUAAUACCGGAUGAUAUUUUGAACCGCAUGGUUCAAGAGUGAAAGACGGUCUUGCUGUCACUUAUAGAUGGAUCCGCGCUGCAUUAGCUAGUUGGUAAGGUAACGGCUUACCAAGGCAACGAUGCAUAGCCGACCUGAGAGGGUGAUCGGCCACACUGGAACUGAGACACGGUCCAGACUCCUACGGGAGGCAGCAGUAGGGAAUCUUACGCAAUGGGCGAAAGCCUGACGGAGCAACGCCGCGUGAGUGAUGAAGGUCUUCGGAUCGUAAAACUCUGUUAUUAGGGAAGAACAUAUGUGUAAGUAACUGUGCACAUCUUGACGGUACCUAAUCAGAAAGCCACGGCUAACUACGUG
RNAcentral lists this ribosomal RNA (497 nucleotides) under uncultured bacterium. Its description in RNAcentral is "partial 16S ribosomal RNA". It matches the Rfam family "Bacterial small subunit ribosomal RNA", at positions 28 to 507 of the family's 1533-position model. The record is from RNAcentral.